AGGGACUCCACGCUGCUUGUCCUCUUCUUUUUGUAUGCCUCUGCAGACCUGUGAGCCCAAAUCCCCGAACACCUCCAACCUAUGUGUUCCUAUGUCUCUUCGUGGUCCAUGGUCACUAGGCUACCUUUUCGCAGGGCGGAGAGACACGGAAUCAACACACAGACUCCGGGAAGUGGUGAGAGAACUGGCUGGAGACCCACCUCAGACCACCUUCCAGUAGCUCGGUUUAUUGUUGGAAUGCACACGACUAUUACAGGGUUCGAGUGGGGCGUGUCUGCCAGUCAGACAUAAGCACCUUAACAUCUAUAAGCCAGUCAUCUUCCGCCUACUGUAACCGCACUAUGAGGAAGCACUGAAUAUUGCUGCCGUGAGGGAAGGCAGUCUGGAAAGGGUCUUUGUCCCUCAGGGAGGCAGGCUAUGACUUGGGGGGUUACAUGCCCUGAAACAUUUGACUCUUGGUUUUUCGGCCUGGUAGUCUGGUAGCUUGACAACGCUGACCACAAGUGCUGAGGCUGUGUUUCACACUCGCUAGAGCAGAGUGCCCCGUCCUACAGGUGUUCCUGUCAGGCCUGUACGAUCCAUCAAUCGAUCGAUCGUAGGUUUUCCUAGCACUCUGAGCUGCUCGUAC
This 628-nucleotide long non-coding RNA is filed under the name Marmota monax (woodchuck). Lineage: Eukaryota; Metazoa; Chordata; Mammalia; Rodentia; Sciuridae. The record is from RNAcentral.